UAUUUAUGACACAUUAAAUUCAUGUCUCAAGCAGGUUGACCUGUGUAACCCAUUUUGACUCAUUUAACUAAAUAGGUUAAAACAGGUAAAUGGGUUACACGAUAUGUUUAAACAUAUUUAACAUAUUUAUUUCAAGAUUACUUAAGGGCAAAUGAGAAAAAUCAAAAAAUUAUAAUCCUAACCUAAAAUAAACAACGAUGGAAUUCGGAGCUGUGAAUUAGCAUAGCAGCUAACUAAAUUAUUUUUAUAUUACUCUAAUUUUUUAACUAAAUUUUUAUUAUUUUAGUUAAAAAUUUAUAAAUAAGUCAAAUAGUUAAACGAAUCAUUAGGCGGAUCGUGUACUCGUUUGACCCACCAACACGGUUAUUAAUCAUGUUAGAC
Molecule: long non-coding RNA, 381 nt
Filed under: Elaeis guineensis (African oil palm)
Lineage: Eukaryota; Viridiplantae; Streptophyta; Magnoliopsida; Arecales; Arecaceae
Description: long non-coding RNA (EGUI_LNC039286)
Source: RNAcentral